GAUGAACGCUGGCGGCGUGCCUAAUACAUGCAAGUCGAGCGAACAGAUAAGGAGCUUGCUCCUUUGAAGUUAGCGGCGGACGGGUGAGUAACGCGUGGGUAACCUACCUAUAAGACUGGGAUAACUUCGGGAAACCGGAGCUAAUACCGGAUAACAUUUAGAACCGCAUGGUCCUAAAGUGAAAGAUGGUUUUGCCAUCACUUAUAGAUGGACCCGCGCCGUAUUAGCUAGUUGGUAAGGUAACGGCUUACCAAGGCGACGAUACGUAGCCGACCUGAGAGGGUGAUCGGCCACACUGGAACUGAGACACGGUCCAGACUCCUACGGGAGGCAGCAGUAGGGAAUCUUCCGCAAUGGGCGAAAGCCUGACGGAGCAACGCCGCGUGAGUGAUGAAGGGUUUCGGCUCGUAAAACUCUGUUAUUAGGGAAGAACAAAUGUGUAAGUAACUGUGCACAUCUUGACGGUACCUAAUCAGAAAGCCACGGCUAACUACGUGCCAGCAGCCGCGGUAAUACGUAGGUGGCAAGCGUUAUCCGGAAUUAUUGGGCGUAAAGCGCGCGUAGGCGGUUUCUUAAGUCUGAUGUGAAAGCCCACGGCUCAACCGUGGAGGGUCAUUGGAAACUGGGAAACUUGAGUGCAGAAGAGGAAAGUGGAAUUCCAUGUGUAGCGGUGAAAUGCGCAGAGAUAUGGAGGAACACCAGUGGCGAAGGCGACUUUCUGGUCUGUAACUGACGCUGAUGUGCGAAAGCGUGGGGAUCAAACAGGAUUAGAUACCCUGGUAGUCCACGCCGUAAACGAUGAGUGCUAAGUGUUAGGGGGUUUCCGCCCCUUAGUGCUGCAGCUAACGCAUUAAGCACUCCGCCUGGGGAGUACGACCGCAAGGUUGAAACUCAAAGGAAUUGACGGGGACCCGCACAAGCGGUGGAGCAUGUGGUUUAAUUCGAAGCAACGCGAAGAACCUUACCAAAUCUUGACAUCCUUUGAAAACUCUAGAGAUAGAGCCUUCCCCUUCGGGGGACAAAGUGACAGGUGGUGCAUGGUUGUCGUCAGCUCGUGUCGUGAGAUGUUGGGUUAAGUCCCGCAACGAGCGCAACCCUUAAGCUUAGUUGCCAUCAUUAAGUUGGGCACUCUAGGUUGACUGCCGGUGACAAACCGGAGGAAGGUGGGGAUGACGUCAAAUCAUCAUGCCCCUUAUGAUUUGGGCUACACACGUGCUACAAUGGACAAUACAAAGGGCAGCUAAACCGCGAGGUCAUGCAAAUCCCAUAAAGUUGUUCUCAGUUCGGAUUGUAGUCUGCAACUCGACUACAUGAAGCUGGAAUCGCUAGUAAUCGUAGAUCAGCAUGCUACGGUGAAUACGUUCCCGGGUCU
Molecule: ribosomal RNA, 1372 nt
Filed under: uncultured bacterium
Lineage: Bacteria
Description: bacterial SSU rRNA
Rfam family: Bacterial small subunit ribosomal RNA
Source: RNAcentral